AUUAAACGCUGGCGGCAUGCCUUACACAUGCAAGUCGAACGGCAGCACGGGGGCAACCCUGGUGGCGAGUGGCGGACGGGUGAGUAACACAUCGGAACGUGCCCUGGAGUGGGGGAUAACGCAGCGAAAGCUACGCUAAUACCGCAUAUUCUGUGAGCAGGAAAGCAGGGGAUCGCAAGACCUUGCGCUUUGGGAGCGGCCGAUGUCGGAUUAGCUAGUUGGUGGGGUAAAGGCUUACCAAGGCGACGAUCCGUAGCGGGUCUGAGAGGAUGAUCCGCCACACUGGGACUGAGACACGGCCCAGACUCCUACGGGAGGCAGCAGUGGGGAAUUUUGGACAAUGGGCGCAAGCCUGAUCCAGCCAUGCCGCGUGUCUGAAGAAGGCCUCGGUUGUAAGGAC
Molecule: ribosomal RNA, 400 nt
Filed under: uncultured bacterium
Lineage: Bacteria
Description: bacterial SSU rRNA
Rfam family: Bacterial small subunit ribosomal RNA
Source: RNAcentral